Molecule: long non-coding RNA, 429 nt
Organism: Haemorhous mexicanus (house finch)
Lineage: Eukaryota; Metazoa; Chordata; Aves; Passeriformes; Fringillidae
Exons: 2
Source: RefSeq, a predicted model, not a curated record
CAUUGAUACCUUCAAAGCUCAAUGUAUCCCAAUUUAAUUUGCCUCCAAAACCAAGAUAUUCAGUAGAAGAUGAGAGACUGGCACGUUUACUAAAUGCACAAAAGAACUCGGAAGGAUGCUCGGCUCCGGAGCAUCCUCGUGUGGAAUAGACCAAUAACUCUCGAGAACCCAGUUCAUAACAUACUUCCAAGAGACGAGGUGUACAUUAAAAACUGGAACAAAGAACCGCUGAAAGAAAAGUGGAGUGGACCCUAUCAGGUACUGCUGACCACCUUUACAGCAGUGAACGUAGCCGGCGUGGACCCCUGGAUUCACUAUACCCGAGUGAAGAAAGUCCAUCCUGGAUCACAGACUGUGUAAACUGUGGAACCAAGACUGCAGAUAAGAUGUGUUUAAUUACUUUGAGAAUGCUAUUAGUAAUUGUGCUAA